UACAGAGGUGGCAAGCGUUGUUCGGAAUUACUGGGCGUAAAGGGCGCGUAGGCGGCCUUCUAAGUCAGACGUGAAAUCCCCCGGCUUAACCUGGGAACGGCGUCUGAUACUGGAGGGCUUGAGUAUGGGAGAGGGAUGUAGAAUUCCAGGUGUAGCGGUGAAAUGCGUAGAUAUCUGGAGGAAUACCGGUGGCGAAGGCGGCAUCCUGGACCAUUACUGACGCUGAGGCGCGAAAGCUAGGGGAGCAAACGGG
This 253-nucleotide ribosomal RNA is filed under the name uncultured bacterium. RNAcentral describes it as "partial 16S ribosomal RNA". It matches the Rfam family "Bacterial small subunit ribosomal RNA", at positions 524 to 776 of the family's 1533-position model. The record is from RNAcentral.